RNAcentral lists this transfer RNA (71 nucleotides) under Marmota monax (woodchuck). It matches the Rfam family "tRNA". Rfam says of the family: Transfer RNA (tRNA) molecules are approximately 80 nucleotides in length. The record is from Rfam by way of RNAcentral. Lineage: Eukaryota; Metazoa; Chordata; Mammalia; Rodentia; Sciuridae.
GUGGUUGUGGCUCAGCGGUAGAGCACUCACCUAGCAUGUGGGAGGCCCUGGGUUCGAUCCUUAGCAUCACA